This 253-nucleotide ribosomal RNA is filed under the name uncultured bacterium. Its description in RNAcentral is "partial 16S ribosomal RNA". It matches the Rfam family "Bacterial small subunit ribosomal RNA", at positions 524 to 776 of the family's 1533-position model. The record is from RNAcentral.
UACAGAGGCCUCGAGCGUUAGGCGGAAUCACUGGGCUUAAAGCGUGUGUAGGUGGGCUUGUAAGUACCUUGUGAAAUCCCACGGCUCAACCGUGGAACUGCUUGGUAUACUGCGAGUCUUGAGCCAUCUAGGGGCUACUGGAACAAGCGGUGGAGCGGUGAAAUGCGUAGAUAUCGGGAGGAACACCAGUGGCGAAGGCGACUGCCUGGCCUGUUCUUGACGCUGAGGCGCGAAAGCUGGGGGAGCAAACGGG